UGUGUUUGAGCCGAAUUUCACUUUAUUUACAAAAUUGGCACCGCCUUUUCUCUCCCUCUUUCUCUCUCCCGACUCUGUCGAUAACCAUCCAUCAAAUCGCCCAUCCUUUCCUUUUCUCACUCUGUGAGCUCAUUUCCUACAACCCUAGCACUGUUUCUCUCUUAUUUCUCUCAAAUUCGAGAGACUUCUCUCUCCCAUUUCUCUCAACCUAGCCCCAGCGCUGCUCACCCCAUUCCUCUUCAUCAUCUCAGUUAAAUCCGUUCAACAAUCACCGAUGCACCUCCACACGAACCCAUAUCGAAUUUUCCUCCUGCCCACGAACCAACCUCCAUUUCGUGGAUCCACCUUUGUUGCAAGUCGCCGACACCCACAAAUGAACUCAGAUACGACCAUCAAAAGUAGGGCGGAGCUCUCGAAGAUGUCAGAUUUGAGAAGGGAAAAGGAGCGGAGCGGAAUUUAAAAUGCGCGAGCUCUGCUUCCAGGCCUCCCCGAAACGCUUGCAGAAAGGUAGGUGCUUGGAUGGGAGUGGACGUAGGAGCAGGAAGUGUUACGAGGAGGGGAGGUAGUAGCCUCAUCUGCUGUGUUGCAGUAGUGAAGUGAUUAGACGUCGGUAUGGCAUCUGCUAGCCUAGGGAAUGGUGGAGUUGGCAGUUCAAGUGGGCCUGGAAGUGAUUUUCCUGGAACGGGAAAGGUAAUCGAGAUUAGUCUCUGAUUGUUUGAUCAUCCUAUAUAUAUUUGAUGAAGCUUCAACUAGCUUCUACCAGACAACCCCUCAUUUCUUUAUGUGAUGGAUUUUCGAAUGAAAUGCACUCAACCCUAAAUUCCAGUGGGGGUGGCUGAAGCAGUUGCCGGAUAUGACUUAUGGCAGCCAAGGUUCCUUUAUUGUCAUGCUUUUAGUUUUAUAAAAUAUGACAAGUUGAUAUAAAUAUAUAUGUAUAUAGAGAACUUACAUCUCUUGAUAGAUUGUGUUGCUAGAUAGUUUUUCACUUUCCUGCUCAAAAUAAGUUUAUCAUGUUAUGCUGUCCAACUAUUGAUUUGGAACAACGUUAUGUAAAUACUUUAUUCUGUCCAACUAUUGAUUUGGAACAACGUUCUGUAAAUACUUUUCACACCAUACUUAUAACACAUUAGUCCUGUAUUUGAAGACUUAUAUACAAUACUUAUAAUUCGGAUGAAGAGAUCCCAAUCUUUGUUUUUGGGAGUUUUUUUAUGCUUUGCUUUUUGAGCGAAUCUUUGUUUAUCAUUUUUUAUCAUAACACGGUCAUAUGGUGUUACUGUCCGUUCUUUUAGUUGUUAAAAUCUGCUUUUUUGAGUUGUACAUGAACUCUUAACGUAGAAUUAGUAAAAUGCAGGUGCAGAAUGAACAACUAAUCAAUGUGAGAGAAGCUUUUAAUUUUUUUGGGUUCAAUUUUAAAUGGGUUGUUAUCAACCAUUGAAUUGCUUUUGGAGUUUUCAUUUGAUAAGAGAGAUGGGGGAUUCUUUUGGGUGAAACUUUUAAUCCGUGAGAUUUUUAGUUAGGUUGUGUUGUGGGUUUUUGCAAAUUUCUACCGUGUUUAUGCAUGCAUUUUUUGUUAUAGAUAUGGAAGAAAAUAGCAUUACAGGGUGUUGAGGGUUUGUUGGUGGGGGAAGGCAGCAGCGUUAAGAUUUUGCAGGUGAGAUAUUAGGGUGAGAGAAAAAGGGAACAAAGAGAAUCGAAGACACAUUUGGGAAUAGGGGUUAGCAAAACAGGGGAAAAGAAUAUGACAGAGGAAUGGACUCUUAAUUUUUUCUUAACUGGUUUGAGAUUUUGCUUGCCUUUGGGGUCGUCGUUGGCGUCAAGCAUUUGGUGUCAAGCGGUGUCUGUUUUUUAAUAACUUUUAUUAUUAAUUUUUAUGUCGUUUGCGAUUUUGUGUCCUAGGAUUUUUGAAUUUUAACGUUCAUUAUUGGUUUUUAAAUUUUUUUUUUCUUCGUUUAUUUGUUUUAUAUGUUGUGUUUGUGGUGAGACACUGUUUUGCAAGUUCUCCUUCCAUUGGGAUCGCUGCAUUUUUAAAGUGUUGAGGGUGAGAUUUAUAUACUCAAAACACUCCAUUUUUUUUUCCAAAUAUGCGCGUUUGGUUCUCUUCGGUUUUAAAUGUUUAAAAUUAAAUGGUUAUUUGGAUAAAAUGGUUUAUUAGUUUAUCUUAUGUGUUGUGAUCAGGAAUUCAAUUGGAUUGGGUAAAAUGCUUUAUCAAUUUACGUUAUAGGGAAUUUUGUGUAUUAUGGUCUGUGAGUUUUAUUGCUCAUCGUUUGUUCUUUUUUCUUUGUUUGCCGGUUUCUUUUGCUGGGGAUCACUACAGUUUGGGAGUCAAAAUGACCACACUACCCCGUCAAGGGUUCAGAUCUUGCCGUCAGAUCGCAUUGUAAUGGGUCUCUUUGGAAAUACAAUUCUUAAGACCAAUUGUGAGAAAUAAGACAUUACUUUUGAUAAACCAUAUUGGGAGUGAAGGAAUCUCUUUUUGACCUGGUCAUCUUGGAGUACAUUUCUACUAACUUGGUACACUAUGGAAAUUCAUGAACUCUUUUAAUGCAUUCAAAAUAUUAUUUUGUAUGAUUUUUUACAUACGUUUGUGGAUGAAGGGUUUAGGUGCUCUGAAAAUGCCCACCCUUAUUUUUUUUACACCAAGUGUAUAUGGCAACCCAGGCAUUCCAACUUGCUCAGGUACUUCAAUCUUUUCAGUUUUUGGUAAUUUUUGCCCCUGUUUGGUUGCUGGGAAGGAGAGGGAAAAUAAGGGAAAUCAUCAAAGUUGAUACAUAUCAUUUGUUUUUAGUCACAUUGAUUUUUAUUGUGAGAAAUUAUGUGAUUAUUUUUUUAUAAUUACCUGUGGAAUUGAAUAGUAUUAGCUAAAGCUCUCCCACUGCUCAGUUGCAUCUAUAUUAAGAAAUUGCUGAGUAGAUGGACUACAAAACUCAAAUUCCCUCCUUCUGUAUAUUUGCAGUUGCUUUUCCGUGUAAAUCUUCUCUUGCAAAGAAAUUCAAAGGCCUCUAAUUGUAUUCAUGGACUAUAACUGUAAUUAUACAAUGUACAUUAUUAUUUAAAAUUAAAAAGGUAUAAUUUAUAUAUAGUCAAUUUAGACUCAUUAAAAUAUACAAUCUUUAAAUACAAAAGUAAAUUUGAAAGAAGUUGAAGUAAUAUAUGAAUGCUAUGUGAUUUAUUAUGUUCAAAAUUGAAAUUGGAAUCAUGCUGUUCUUUGAUAUGGAUGAAGUGUGGUGUUCUCCUUCAAAAAGUUGAAAUUAGGUCUCUCCAUCCCCUUAAUUUCAUUUUCUAUUAGCAAAGAACUGGGAUACCAAUGUACUUAUGUGUAUUGUUUCAAUUUCUAUGUUUGCUAAUCUUUUCCCAGGGAAAUACUUCAUUUAAGGAAAAGCCUGAAAUAAUGUUGUCAAGUGCUAUAUUGAAGCUAUCAGAUUGAACAUGAUGUGUGCAACUUAGAUUGCAACCAUGCAAUUGCUUACUUGGAGAUUUAUUCUCUACGAUUCUCUGGUUAGGGUAAGCAUUUUGGUGAGCUUUGAUUUUGUGAGGGUAAGCUCUUAAUCUUUCCUCUAUCGUUUUGUAGUUCAUCCUAUUGUUUUAAUUUAGAGCUAUUUUAAUGCUUUUAUGUUUGUCGUUCCGUGCUGGGAAAUUGGAAAGCUCUGGAAACAAUAUAGUUCUUGAGCUAAUGUGAAGAUUUUGGGUUGAACAUUGUGCUGUGAAGAUAUUGGGUUUAAUAUUUGAUUCCGUUUUUCAUUUUGCACUUACAAAAACAGAGGAUUGUGGUUAAUUAUUGUGAUGUGAAGCUUCUAUUUGAUGACGACUUAAUGAGUAGCGAUGUAAAUUAAACUACGUAUUUUAUGGAUCAAUUCACAUAUCUCUUGCUUUUUCUUUCA
Pyrus x bretschneideri (Chinese white pear) is the source of this 3878-nucleotide long non-coding RNA. RefSeq lists it as uncharacterized. The record is from RefSeq and is a predicted model, not a curated record. Lineage: Eukaryota; Viridiplantae; Streptophyta; Magnoliopsida; Rosales; Rosaceae. The transcript is spliced from 8 exons.